Molecule: non-coding RNA, 76 nt
Organism: Potamilus streckersoni
Lineage: Eukaryota; Metazoa; Mollusca; Bivalvia; Unionida; Unionidae
Source: the annotation of a GenBank genome assembly
GACCGUCCGGUGGCAUUGUGGUUAGAGCGUCCGCCUCGAAUGCGGGAGGUCGUGUGUUCGAUCCCAGGUCUAGUCA